Molecule: transfer RNA, 54 nt
Filed under: Allodiplogaster sudhausi
Lineage: Eukaryota; Metazoa; Nematoda; Chromadorea; Rhabditida; Diplogasteridae
Description: tRNA-Thr
Source: RNAcentral
GCUAUAAUAGUUUAAUUAGAAUUUAUAACUUGUAAUUAUAAGGUAGUGGUAGCU